UUAUGUACAAAUUUGUCAUAGGUUCCCAACAUAAUAAAAUUUAUACUGGAGAAAACCCUACAAAUGUGAAGAAUGUGGCAAUGCUUUUAAUCAGUCCUCAAACCUUAUUGAACGUAAAAUAAUUCAUACUGGAGACAAACCCUAUAAAUGUGAAAAAAUGUAACAAAGUCUUUAAUUGGUCUUCAACUCUUACUGAACAUCAGAGAAUUUAUACAGAAGAUAAAGCCUAAGAAUACGAAGAAUGUGAAAAAGGCUUUAACUUUUGAACCCUUAUUACACAUAGGAUACAUCAUAUUGGAGAGAAAUUCUAGAAAUGUGAAGAAUAUGGCAAAGCUUUUAAUAAGUUCUCAAACCAUACUGGAGAGAAACUCUACAAAUCUGAAAGAUGUGACAAUGUUUUUGAAAACACCUCAAACUUCUAAAAAUAAAAGAAAUACUAGUAAGAAACAGUAGAAGUGUGAGUAAUGUGACAAAGCCUUUAAAUUCUUGUCACACUUGAUUGUAAGAUAAUUUAUACUGGAGAAAACUUCUUCAAGUAUGGAGAAUACGACAAAAAGUUUAACCAAUGCUCACAUCUUAUUGCACAGGAAAGCAUUUAUUCUUGAGAAAAAUUAUACUAAUAUAAAAAAUGUGGAAAAGCCAUUCAUAUCUGCUCACAUCUUACUCAACAUCACGGAGUUCAUACUUAAAGCAUUAACAAUGCAAUUACUGUCAAAAGAUCUAUCAGAAUAUAUAAACCUUUAAUAUGUAUUAAUUUUGAACAUGAACGAACAUUACAAAUAUAAAAAGGGUUUUAGUGCCUUUAAUUCUAUUACAGAUCUUGUUGUAUACAUUUUGUGCUAGAGGAAAACCCUACGGCAGUUGCUCAAACUUUAUUCAACACCAGGAAAUUUAUACUGUAGAAAUACCCUGCAAAUUUAAUGAAUUUGGAAAACCAUUUUUUAAAAAACUACAGCUUAGAAAACAUCAGAGUGUAUACUAAGAUUUUUUUUGUAAAUACAGUAAAUAUAGAGUAUUUUAUCCAAAAUUAAGUCUAUGUCAGUACCAGAGAAUAUACAGUAGUAAUAAUAAGGCACUGAAAUGUCAG
RNAcentral lists this long non-coding RNA (1087 nucleotides) under Homo sapiens (human). Its description in RNAcentral is "non-protein coding lnc-ZNF676-3:1". The record is from RNAcentral. Lineage: Eukaryota; Metazoa; Chordata; Mammalia; Primates; Hominidae.